UACGUAGGGUGCAAGCGUUAAUCGGAAUUACUGGGCGUAAAGCGCGCGUAGGCGGCUAAUUAAGUCAAAUGUGAAAUCCCCGAGCUUAACUUGGGAAUUGCAUUCGAUACUGGUUAGCUGGAGUGUGGGAGAGGAUGGUAGAAUUCCAGGUGUAGCGGUGAAAUGCGUAGAGAUCUGGAGGAAUACCGAUGGCGAAGGCAGCCAUCUGGCCUAACACUGACGCUGAGGUGCGAAAGCAUGGGGAGCAAACAGG
This 253-nucleotide ribosomal RNA is filed under the name uncultured bacterium. RNAcentral describes it as "partial 16S ribosomal RNA". It matches the Rfam family "Bacterial small subunit ribosomal RNA", at positions 524 to 776 of the family's 1533-position model. The record is from RNAcentral.